UUUAGAGGGAAAAUAAAGGAAGCGCCGGCAGAAGUGCCCGCGAUACUUUCCCUGAAUUCAGCUGGGCUAACAUUUCCAAGCAUCUCCAGCCUACGAAAGAGCGCAAUGUUAUUAAAGCCUUAUCUGGAUUGAUUGAUCAAUGCCUCCUAACUCACAGAGCUCAAACUACAGGUCAUAAAACUUACAGAGGCUCUUGGAAGACAACUGCUUCAGUACUUCUGCGUGAAGCAUCCAUCUAAUAGUUGGGAUUGAUGAAUAUUGUAGUUGGCUGAAACAUCUGUGGAGGUCGUUGGUCUUCUGAAUGUUCUCUUCUGAACGAUUGUCC
Rhincodon typus (whale shark) is the source of this 325-nucleotide long non-coding RNA. RefSeq lists it as uncharacterized. Lineage: Eukaryota; Metazoa; Chordata; Chondrichthyes; Orectolobiformes; Rhincodontidae. The record is from RefSeq and is a predicted model, not a curated record. The transcript has 3 exons.